AAACGGGCCGAGUUAAGGUUGGUUCGGCAGAAAAGAAGGUUAGGAAUGGGGUGAAAAAUGGGGAAUAAGUGUGAGGCAAAUAAAGGUAUAAUUCGGGUUUGUUCAUUAUGGCCUGAGUUUCCGUGAGUCUGAGGCCUUGAAAUCUUGGGGAGAGACCGGGAUUAGAUACCCCGUUAUUCUGAGAAGUAAAAGAUGUUUAAGAGAUCUGCCCGGGUACUACAAAUUUUAGGGCGGGAGAGAAACUGUUCGGGGAUUAUUUAAAACUUAAAAGACUUGGCGGUGCCUUAAUUCUUGCCAGGGGAACCUGCCCCAUAACUGAUAGUCCGCGUUUAAGCUUACCUUGUUUUGAAUAAUUUGUUGGGGUUACGGAAGGGCAGCUUGUAUACCGUUGUCGUCAGGCGGCCUUUAAGAGGUGAUGAGUGGCCUGGGGAGGAGUGUGCCUUAUCGAGAGUAGGGGUGAAUUUCUUAGACGUCAAAUCGAGGUGCAGUUAAUGGCAAGGUUGGUGGUGGGUUACAGUAAUUAUUGUUUACACGGAGUCGGGCUUGUAAUAGCUUUAUGAAGGUGGACUUGGGAGUAAUUUGAGUGAUUAGGAAGCUCGGGUGAAGAAAUGCUCUAAGGUGUGCACAAAUCGCCCGUCGCUCUUGUUGAGAAAUAA
RNAcentral lists this ribosomal RNA (656 nucleotides) under Pseudorimula sp. Lau. RNAcentral describes it as "partial 12S rRNA". It matches the Rfam family "Bacterial small subunit ribosomal RNA", at positions 532 to 1416 of the family's 1533-position model. The record is from RNAcentral. Lineage: Eukaryota; Metazoa; Mollusca; Gastropoda; Lepetellida; Lepetodrilidae.